Molecule: small nucleolar RNA, 83 nt
Filed under: Clavispora lusitaniae ATCC 42720
Lineage: Eukaryota; Fungi; Ascomycota; Pichiomycetes; Serinales; Metschnikowiaceae
Description: Small nucleolar RNA R38
Rfam family: Small nucleolar RNA R38
About the family: snoR38 is a C/D box small nucleolar RNA conserved across yeast, human, Arabidopsis and rice. It is encoded in the intron of elongation factor-1 gamma in both pombe and cerevisiae. snoR38 guides the methylation of 2'-O-ribose sites in 28S rRNA.
Source: Rfam by way of RNAcentral
GCAAAAUGAUGAGAAACCUUUUUUUUUAUACAGUUAUCCCUGUCUUAACAAACUAUGUCGAGGAUCUUCAAUCUGAACAAUAC